Molecule: long non-coding RNA, 99 nt
Organism: Chiroxiphia lanceolata (lance-tailed manakin)
Lineage: Eukaryota; Metazoa; Chordata; Aves; Passeriformes; Pipridae
Exons: 4
Source: RefSeq, a predicted model, not a curated record
UUAAUGAAUUAUUGCCUCUGUUGUUUCUAAGACCAAGUUCUCUGUGCUUUUGCUUAGGGCUUGCUUUCUAAAUUAACUCUCUGAUGCCAAUGACCCAGC